RNAcentral lists this long non-coding RNA (453 nucleotides) under Monodelphis domestica (gray short-tailed opossum). RNAcentral describes it as "lncRNA (ENSMODG00000044120.1)". Lineage: Eukaryota; Metazoa; Chordata; Mammalia; Didelphimorphia; Didelphidae. The record is from RNAcentral.
UUGCUGCAGCUGGUUGGCUUGCUGGGAGUUUUUCCCAGCACCAAGCUCAGACUUCAUCAUACCUUUUAAGAACAGCUAUAUAUCACUAUUACGUCAAGACCAUAAUCAAUCAUGAAUGCUCCCUAGUUAUUACAUGUGGGAUCUCUAACCCACAGAGGGUUUCCAUAUCUAUCUACAUCUUGAAGACUCAUCUGGGAUUUGAUUCCAGUUUGCUUGUCUUAUCAUCAAAUGAAGUCAGACCUCCAUCUGGAUUAUCCUAUGAACUGGCAGAAAUCCAUUGGAGAAAGGUCUUAGAAGUCUCCAGUACAUUGAAACUUGGGAAAUUGAGUUCCUAAGGAGCUAAGGAAAAUGAUCUUGCUGAUUGACUCAGUUAACCCAAACUCACACAGUGCCAGAUUGGCCCAUACAUCACCAUACUUCAUAAACUUUCUUCCUAGCCAAUUCUUCCUCUGC